GGUCAGUCCUCCGGGAAAUCUGAUAGCUCAACUAUUAGGCUUUCGGGGGAUACUGCCAGACUUGGAACCGGGAGAGGUAAGAGGUACUACAGGGGUAGGAGUGAAAUCUUGUAAUCCCUGUGGGACCACCUGUGGCGAAGGCGUCUUACCAGAACGGGUUCGACGGUGAGGGACGAAAGCUGGGGGCACGAACCGGAUUAGAUACCCGGGUAGUCCCAGCCGUAAACGAUGCUCGCUAGGUGUCAGGCAUGGCGCGACCGUGUCUGGUGCCGCAGGGAAGCCGUGAAGCGAGCCACCUGGGAAGUACGGCCGCAAGGCUGAAACUUAAAGGAAUUGGCGGGGGAGCACAACAACGGGUGGAGCCUGCGGUUUAAUUGGACUCAACGCCGGACAACUCACCGGGGGCGACAGCAAUAUGUAGGCCAAGCUGAAGACUUUGCCUGAAUCGCUGAGGGGAGGUGCAUGG
This 466-nucleotide ribosomal RNA is filed under the name uncultured archaeon. RNAcentral describes it as "bacterial SSU rRNA". It matches the Rfam family "Archaeal small subunit ribosomal RNA", at positions 532 to 997 of the family's 1478-position model. The record is from RNAcentral.